AGCAGCCGCGGUAAUUCCAGCUCCAAUAGCGUAUAUUAAAGUUGUUGCAGUUAAAAAGCUCGUAGUUGAAUUUCGGGGUUAGUACGCUGGUCGUGCCUUCGGUAUGUACUGGUGUUUCUGAUUCCUACCUUCUGAAGAACCGUCAUGUCAUUAAUUUGGUGUGGCGGGGAAUCAGGACUGUUACUUUGAAAAAAUUAGAGUGUUUAAAGCAGGCUCGCGCUUGAAUACAUUAGCAUGGAAUAAUGAAAUAGGACGUUCGAUCCUAUUUUGUUGGUUUCUAGGAUUGACGUAAUGAUUAAUAGGGAUAGUUGGGGGCAUUAGUAUUCAAUUGUCAGAGGUGAAAUUCUUGGAUUUAUUGAAGACUAACUACUGCGAAAGCAUUUGCCAAGGAUGUUUUCAUUAAUCAAGAACGAAAGUUAGGGGAUCGAAGACGAUCAGAUACCGUCGUAGUCUUAACCAUAAACUAUGCCGACUAGGGAUCGGAUGAUGUUAAUUUUUAAUGACUCAUUCGGCGCCUUAC
Molecule: ribosomal RNA, 520 nt
Filed under: uncultured Glomus
Lineage: Eukaryota; Fungi; Glomeromycota; Glomeromycetes; Glomerales; Glomeraceae
Description: SSU rRNA
Rfam family: Eukaryotic small subunit ribosomal RNA
Source: RNAcentral